Molecule: long non-coding RNA, 2319 nt
Filed under: Oryctolagus cuniculus (rabbit)
Lineage: Eukaryota; Metazoa; Chordata; Mammalia; Lagomorpha; Leporidae
Description: lncRNA (ENSOCUG00000036295.1)
Source: RNAcentral
GUCCCUCUCCUUCCCUGCCACUCAGCAGGCAGCAGAGUAAAACCAACCACAAGAAAUCAGAGCAGUUUGCUCAGCAACAGUGGGAGAAGCAGGUUUACUUACGCCAGGUAAAUAAUGCAUGAGCCGGGGCUGAGAAAGACAGCAGCCAAGUUCAUGUUACUAACGGGUUCACUGAACCUCAUGGCUGGGCUCCUGAGCCAGAGUCCCAGGGGAUAAGGUUGCAAGUCCCCGCUGCCCCCUCCUCUCCAAUGGAAUCCUUUCUGUGUGCAGGGUUUUUGUUUAGAGGGUGUUUUUUUCGGUCUUGGGGUUUUUGUUGUUGUUGUUGUUGUUGUUUUGUGUUUUGUUUUUCCUGGUCUCACUUUGCUAGCUCCUACUCCCUCUAUCAAACAGCCUCUGCCCAGGAGGAAGCCCCCACCCUCUCUAUGUCCCACCUUUAGAGAAGGGGUCAGGGAGAGGCCCUGAUUUGCAACGAGCAAUGCAACAGAGGCCAAGCAUGGGGCAGGCUCCCCAGCCUUCUCCCAUCUGCCAGAAGAUGGUUUGUUUCCAGACCCAUUAGCUAUACCCGAUAGGUUGGCCCGGUCCCCACGCUCCCUGGCACCGACAAACCGUGCCCAGAAGAAAUGUAAACUGAACCAAAUCGUGAAAGAACAACUUGCGAUAAGGACCGCGGGCUCCUCCCCCACCGCCCCGAGUAACUGAUACCACAUCUCCAUCUCUCUGCCCACCCACCUGCCCCAGCCCAGAAGGGGCUGGUGAACACCGUGGUCAAAGCACUGGGCUCCUUUUUCUUUCAGUUCUGUAAAUGCUGAAUGAUAGUGUGUGUGGAGACAACGUUUUCCCGAUUUGACACACACCCCACGACUCCAUCCCAAACAGAGUCACUCACUGAGAUCAUUCAAACUCCAGGCUCAGAAGCUUUCCAACGCCUGUCAUGCCAGGAUCCAGAGACACAGGAUGCGUUGGCAGAAGUGAAGAUGGUGAAAGUUACAAACGGUGCAGAGGCUACAGGAAAACAGCUCCCAAAAGAGGCGUCCUGGGCUUGUCAUCUUACAGAACGUCCGAACCUGCUUCCCAAGCCCCCUGGGUGGCACCACCUGUGCUGUGUGGUCUUCCCCGGCAGCACUGGGAGCAGUCCCCAGGCUGUGCCCUUGUCUUUUUCAUCUCUGGAUCCCCUGUGCCCAGGACAGUGCAGAGCAGGUGGGCUGCGAGGCUCCGUGAAUACAUGUGGCAUGAGGGCCAGACGAGCCGAGCUGCCACUGUUGCUAGCCAGCUCUGCUUCCCGCUCCCAGCUGGUAGGACAGAGAGAAUGCUAUUUAUGAAAACACCAAGCCAAACAAGGCCCUCCCUUCCCUGAAGCCGAAGCUGUGCUGGGAACAGCCAGGGGUCACCAAAUGGUGGCCAGAUGGCAACUGACUGCUGCUCCUGAGCUCGAGGGGCCGCCCACCUGCUCCCAGAGACCUGCGAACGAGCCACUUGGUGGGGGAAAACUCAGACGGCCCCCACCUCCUGAAUCCCCUGCUGCACCCACGUCUCAGGGCUGAGGCUUUGCCAGUUCCCAGCCUGCAGCCCAACCUGGCUCCUAGAGGUGCGGCUUUCCUUCCCCCAGGUUCUUCCCUUUCAGGGAGGCCCCGUUGGGUUCGCUACAGGCAGCGGAGGCGGUGGGCACCGGGCCCAGGCCAGGCAAGCCGGCAGAGGCCGGGCACACUCCCUUGGUGCGGCAGCUCGGAGGACACGGUGGCCGAGGAAGAGGGAAGGGUUUUCCUGCCAUGUUCUCCAACAAAGAGAGCUGAGCGGGCUUUGGGGAGAGCUCUGUUUCCCUUGGUUUCAUUCAGCUCCGGUCUCCUCCUCCCACAGAUCUGGGAGGCGAGCGGCCCCCAGCUGGUUAUCAGGUCCCUGAGCGUGAGGGCCUUUAUCUCCCCUCAGACUGCGGAGCUCGCAGGCCAGAGGCCUACAAAUCCUCCCUGACCCUCCUGCCUCUUUGUUAUCUCGGAGGGAAGAUUACAUUUCUGUGUGGAGAGGCAAGGUGCCAGGAGCGCUGGAGCAGGAGUGGGACGAGGCAGGCAGGCAGGGCCGCAGGCUGACCCCUGCUGCCUGUAGAGGCUCAGGGCUGCCCUGGGAAUGGCUCCCUCCACUGGCCCGGGGCCUUCCAGAAGUGCUGGGGUCUGCAUUUCACCGGCGGUGCGGCCAGGUGUUUGCUCCGCCCUCGGCCCAGGCAUCUGCGGGUUUCUCGCAGUCUCCGCUCUGCCUGUGGCUGCUUCCCUGAGAACUGCGGAGGGUACUGCUGGCGGGCUGGCUGCUUGCUUCCAUUUUGGUUUGCUG